RNAcentral lists this ribosomal RNA (468 nucleotides) under uncultured bacterium. RNAcentral's name for it is "partial 16S ribosomal RNA". It matches the Rfam family "Bacterial small subunit ribosomal RNA", at positions 28 to 507 of the family's 1533-position model. The record is from RNAcentral.
GACGAACGCUGGCGGCGUGCUUAACACAUGCAAGUCGAACGGAAAGGCCCUGCUUUUGUGGGGUGCUCGAGUGGCGAACGGGUGAGUAACCCGUGAGUAACCUGCCCUUGACUUUGGGAUAACUUCAGGAAACUGGGGCUAAUACCGGAUAGGAGCUCCUGCUGCAUGGUGGGGGUUGGAAAGUUUCGGCGGUUGGGGAUGGACGCGCGGCUUAUCAGCUUGUUGGUGGGGUAGUGGCUUACCAAGGCUUUGACGGGUAGCCGGCCUGAGAGGGUGACCGGCCACAUUGGGACUGAGAUACGGCCCAGACUCCUACGGGAGGCAGCAGUGGGGAGUAUUGCACAAUGGGCGGAAGCCUGAUGCAGCAACGCCGCGUGCGGGAUGACGGCCUUCGGGUUGUAAACCGCUUUCGCCUGUGACGAAGCGUGAGUGACGGUAAUGGGUAAAGAAGCACCGGCUAACUACGUG